Molecule: ribosomal RNA, 447 nt
Filed under: Encephalitozoon intestinalis
Lineage: Eukaryota; Fungi; Microsporidia; Unikaryonidae
Description: LSU rRNA
Rfam family: Archaeal large subunit ribosomal RNA
Source: RNAcentral
UUUGAGGAUUCACGGGAUUGAUAGGCAUUAGCAGCGAGGAAGGACGUGUAGGAGGACGAUAUGCCUUUUUGAGGAAGUCUGAAUGAAGCGGGAGGAAGUCUGAAUGAAGCGGAAGCGCUUGGGGACCCCUUUGACUUAAGCAUACCAAUAAAGAAGGAGGAAGAAACAAAAGGGAUUGUCUGAGUAGCGGCGAGUGAAAGGACAGGAGCUCGAAUGGUAACUGCGUUUGGCGGGUUGUUUUGAGUAGGAGGAGACUGAGCUAGGGAUUGUCCCGAUCUUAGAGGGAAUGGCCUGUAAGUAUCCGGACCUUGAGAGAAGAAGAGGGUGUCUGGAGUGCCGCCUUGAUUGGGUGGUGUUCUUUUCACCGAAAGCUAAAUAUAAGCUAACUGACCGAUAGCGAAGAAGUAGAGUGAUUGAAAUGUGAAAAAGACAAGAUGAAAAAUGAAA